GCUGAUGUAGCUCAGUGGUUAGAGCACGAAACUCAUAAUUUCGGGGUCGGUGGUUCAAAUCCACCCAUCAGCACCA
RNAcentral lists this transfer RNA (76 nucleotides) under Anaerolineales bacterium. RNAcentral's name for it is "tRNA-Met". It matches the Rfam family "tRNA". From Rfam's summary of the family: Transfer RNA (tRNA) molecules are approximately 80 nucleotides in length. Lineage: Bacteria; Bacillati; Chloroflexota; Anaerolineae; Anaerolineales. The record is from RNAcentral.